RNAcentral lists this long non-coding RNA (302 nucleotides) under Homo sapiens (human). RNAcentral's name for it is "HSALNT0325719". Lineage: Eukaryota; Metazoa; Chordata; Mammalia; Primates; Hominidae. The record is from RNAcentral.
CAUACUUCCAUUUCACUGACAGAAAUAAGAUAUAACUCAAUGAAGAGACUGACCAUGCUUGUUCACGUUUCAUAAAAAGAACAUAAAAAAUAGAUUUCUAUUCAUGGCAAACAGAAGAUCUCACUUCUCAAUCUACUGCCAUCAUGGGACCAUGACCUAAAUAUCUCAACUUAAGGCAAGAAAAUAAAGUACAAGCAAACCAAACUUGAAUUUCUCAUGUUACAGAAGAUGCAUUCAGGAUAAUAUUUUAUAUUAUUGAGAAAAAGCAAAAGGUAAUUACAUAGGAAACCAUCUCAUUUAGG